Molecule: long non-coding RNA, 245 nt
Filed under: Setaria italica (foxtail millet)
Lineage: Eukaryota; Viridiplantae; Streptophyta; Magnoliopsida; Poales; Poaceae
Description: long non-coding RNA (SITA_LNC001281)
Source: RNAcentral
AAGGGGAAGGUUCACUAGAGCCCUGAAAGAGUAUCGGUCGCUGCUUUACAUCACCCGCUGGUCGGCUGGUGUUUGGUCAGGCUCCUCUGUUGGCGUGACUGAAGAGUGUGCAGUCUGCAACAUCUAAAGCCAAGCUUCGUCUCCAAUCUCCAGUGUCCCGCAGCGCCCCAGGUGUUACAACAAAGAGCUAAAGCAUCCAGCUGCAUGGAGAAACUAGUUAACCAUAAAACCAUGCUCUUCUCCAG